This 447-nucleotide ribosomal RNA is filed under the name Triticum aestivum (bread wheat). RNAcentral's name for it is "partial small subunit ribosomal RNA". Lineage: Eukaryota; Viridiplantae; Streptophyta; Magnoliopsida; Poales; Poaceae. The record is from RNAcentral.
AUGCAAGACAGAGGUGACGGAUUACCUUCCUACUGUUUCUUCCAGGUCCGGUCCGAACCAGCCUUGUAUAUAUCAUCAAUCAUUUUAACAUGUAUAAGACGGAGAUUACGGGUUACCUUCCUACUGUUCUCCCAGGUCGUAUCAUCAACCAUUUUAACAUGUAGUAUAAGAUGGAGGUUACGGGUUACCUUCCUACUGUUCUCCCAGGUCGUAUCAUCAACCAUUUUAACAUGUAGUAUAAGAUGGAGGUUACGGGUUACCUUCCUACUGUUUCUUCCAGGUCCGGUCCGACCCAACCUUGUAUAUAUCAUCAAUCAUUUUAACAUGUAUAAGAUGGAGGUUACCUGUCUAGUGUUUCUUCCAGGUCCUAACCAAACCUUGUAUGUCAUCAAUCAAUCAAUCAUUUUAACAUGUAAGACAGACAGAGGUUACGGAAUACCUGCCUAG